AGCGAACGCUGGCGGCGUGCUUAACACAUGCAAGUCGUGCGAGAAAGCUCCUUCGGGAGUGAGUAGAGCGGCGGACGGGUGAGUAAUGCGUGAAUAACCUGCCCAAAGGACUGGGAUAACUUCGGGAAACUGGAGCUAAUACCGGAUAAGACCACGAUUUCUACGGAUAUCGGGGUAAAAGGUGGCUGCUUGCGGCUAUCACCUAUGGAUGGGUUCACGUUCCAUCAGGUUGUUGGUGAGGUAAAGGCUCACCAAGCCUAAGACGGAUAGUUGGCCUUAGCGGGUGGCCAACCACACGGGGACUGAGACACGGCCCCGACUCCUACGGGAGGCAGCAGUGAGGAAUAUUGGGCAAUGGGCGCAAGCCUGACCCAGCGACGUCGCGUGGGGGACGAAGGCCCUCGGGUCGUAAACCCUUGUCAUAGGGGAAGAUGGGUAUAUGUGCUAAUACCACAUAUACUUGACGGUACCCUAAGAGGAAGCCCCGGCUAACUCCGUG
RNAcentral lists this ribosomal RNA (499 nucleotides) under uncultured bacterium. RNAcentral describes it as "bacterial SSU rRNA". It matches the Rfam family "Bacterial small subunit ribosomal RNA", at positions 29 to 507 of the family's 1533-position model. The record is from RNAcentral.